GGCAGUUAUGCUAUACUUCACAACUUUAGCCAUACACAAACUACGUAGUCUAAGUACAAUAGACUAAGUAUAAAGCAAAGUAAAGCACUCAACAAUAUAUAGGAAAUAAGUUCCCAACCUUUAUUAUUCUCUUAGAAUUACAAAGAAGUAAUGCCACUAGAAUUGCUAAGACAUUACAACACUCAUUACCUUAGACAUAUUCUAGCACUAGAAUAUAAAGAUUGUACAUGGGC
Molecule: long non-coding RNA, 233 nt
Filed under: Capsicum annuum
Lineage: Eukaryota; Viridiplantae; Streptophyta; Magnoliopsida; Solanales; Solanaceae
Description: long non-coding RNA (CANN_LNC001962)
Source: RNAcentral